RNAcentral lists this ribosomal RNA (211 nucleotides) under Anasa andresii. Its description in RNAcentral is "partial large subunit ribosomal RNA". It matches the Rfam family "Archaeal large subunit ribosomal RNA", at positions 1901 to 2143 of the family's 2987-position model. Lineage: Eukaryota; Metazoa; Arthropoda; Insecta; Hemiptera; Coreidae. The record is from RNAcentral.
AAAAACAUGUCCUUUAGAUUAUUAUAAUUAAAGGUCUAACCUGCCCGGUGAUUGACUUAAACGGCCGCAGUAUUUUGACUGUGCGAAGGUAGCAUAAUCAUUUGUCUUUUAAUUGGAGGCUAGUAUGAAUGGUUGGACGAGGGAUUAACUUUCUUUAUUUAAAUUUAAUGAAUUUGAUUUUUUAGUUAAAAAGCUUAAAUAUAUUUGCAAG